UCCCUGGUGACCUAAUGGUUAAGAGUUCAGCAUUAUCACUGCUGUGGCUCGGGUUUGAUCCCUGGCCCUGGAA
Molecule: transfer RNA, 73 nt
Filed under: Sus scrofa (pig)
Lineage: Eukaryota; Metazoa; Chordata; Mammalia; Artiodactyla; Suidae
Rfam family: tRNA
About the family: Transfer RNA (tRNA) molecules are approximately 80 nucleotides in length. Their secondary structure includes four short double-helical elements and three loops (D, anti-codon, and T loops).
Source: Rfam by way of RNAcentral